AAGAGACAGCAGUCGCCACGGGAAUACGGAGGGUGCAAGCGUUAUCCGGAUUUAUUGGGUUUAAAGGGUCCGUAGGCGGAUCUGUAAGUCAGUGGUGAAAUCUUACAGCUUAACUGUGAAACUGCCAUUGAUACUGCAGGUCUUGAGUAAAUUUGAAGUGGCUGGAAUAAGUAGUGUAGCGGUGAAAUGCAUAGAUAUUACUUAGAACACCAAUUGCGAAGGCAGGUCACUAAGAUUUAACUGACGCUGAUGGACGAAAGCGUGGGGAGCGAACAGGAUUAGAUACCCCGGUAGUCCCUGUCUCUUAUAC
This 310-nucleotide ribosomal RNA is filed under the name uncultured bacterium. Its description in RNAcentral is "partial 16S ribosomal RNA". It matches the Rfam family "Bacterial small subunit ribosomal RNA", at positions 503 to 807 of the family's 1533-position model. The record is from RNAcentral.